RNAcentral lists this ribosomal RNA (406 nucleotides) under uncultured bacterium. Its description in RNAcentral is "partial 16S ribosomal RNA". It matches the Rfam family "Bacterial small subunit ribosomal RNA", at positions 30 to 526 of the family's 1533-position model. The record is from RNAcentral.
AUUGAACGCUGGCGGCAGGCCUAACACAUGCAAGUCGAACGAGUGGCGGACGGGUGAGUAAUGUCUGGGAAACUGCCUGCUGGCGGGGGAUAACUACUGGAAACGGUAGCUAAUACCGCAUACCAUCAGAGGUGCCCAGAAGGGCUUAGCUUGUUGGUGGGGUAAAGGCUCACCAAGGCGACGAUCCCUAGCUGGUUUGAGAGGAUGACCAGCCACACGUGAACUGAGAUACGGCCCAGACUCCUACGGGAGGCAGCAGUGGGGAAUAUUGCACAAUGGGCGCAACCCUGAUGCAGCCAUGCCGCGUGUAUGAAGAAGGCCUUCGGGUUGUAAAGUACUGUCAGCAGAGAAGCGUUACCCGCAGAAGAAGCACCGGCUAACUCCGUGCCAGCAGCCGCGGUAAUAC